CCUACGGGUGGCAGCAGUGGGGAAUAUUGCACAAUGGGGGCAACCCUGAUGCAGCGACGCCGCGUGAAGGAAGAAGGACUUCGGUAUGUAAACCUCUUUCAGCAGGGAAGAAAACGACGGUACCUGUCAACGAAGCCAUGGCCAACUACGUGCCAGCAGCCGCGGUAAUACGGCGGGGGCAAGCGUUCUCCGGAUUUACUGGGUGUAAAGGGAGCGUAGGCGGUUUAGCAAGACGGAAGUGAAAGCCCCGGGCUCAACGCCGGGACUGCAUUUGAAACUGGGGACCUAGAGUGCAGGAGAGGUAGGUGGAAUUCCUGGUGUAGCGGUGAAAUGCGUAGAUAUGAGGAGGAACACCGGUGGCGAAGGCGGCUUACUGGAC
Molecule: ribosomal RNA, 379 nt
Filed under: uncultured bacterium
Lineage: Bacteria
Description: partial 16S ribosomal RNA
Rfam family: Bacterial small subunit ribosomal RNA
Source: RNAcentral